UCUAUCUAUUAUAAUAUAAAAACAGCCCGAAAAGAAGGCUCCACGUUCGCUCUAGAGGCUAGAAAUUCUCACGUUAAUCGAAGAAAAAUAAAAAAUAUGAACCGUUAGAUCAUGGUGGGUCCAGAUUAUAACGGUGUAGAUUAAUCGGAGAAAAUGAAAAAAUAUACACUGUUAGAUCAUGAUGGGUCCAGAUUAUAACGGUCAAGAUUAAAUAGCAGAUAUAGAUAGAAAAUUUUAUGUCAAUAGUUGUAGAAGUAAUCAAAUAAGUAUCGUUUCCAAUCGGAAGGCAGCAGAUAGAAAAAAGUACGAGCCAUUCCGGCGACACGCCAUCAACAACAAAAUAAACAUCAUGUCCUGACUCAUGACUCCUUGGCUAAUCACCUGACAAGUGACAACUCUAUAGCCUUAAUACGGAGUACGUUUUGUUAAUGUUUUAGUCGCUCGAACAAGUUAACAUAGAAAUACAACAAAAAUCAAUAAAAAAUAUAUUAGUGAAAGAACAAUAUAUGUAAAAAUAGAAUUUCAAAUAUAAAAGAAUUAUCUAUUUAAAUAUUAAAUAGAAUUAAAAUGAACAACAAAGUGAAGUAAACAAUAUUAUGUUUUUAGACUUUGAAUAACCAAAGUACAUAAAACUUAAAUAUAAACUAAAUCUAGAUCAUACGGUCUAGAUUUGUCAUAUAAAAGAAAAGCAAAUAAAUCUAAUUAUUGAUCAUACAGUCCGUAUUAGAGUCCAUGUCUGUUUUAGAAAAUCUAAUUGGGUUGUGACUAAUGCCUCCAUAUAAAAGCAUAUUAAUCGCCUCCUCAGCCGUAGAAAGCACUAGAUAGGACGACUGUAGUUGCAACAAGGCCAAGCCAGCGAAUAGAUAAAUUCUCGAGGAAAAUAAUGAAAAAUCUAAAAUGAAAAUAUAUUGAAUCAUAGAAAAAGAAAUAAAAUGUUAAUGAAAAAAGAUUAUAGAUGUUAGAUCGUACCAAGUCUAAAGUAUUGGGGUAUAUAGAAUAAUAUAAAAAGUCCAUGUGUAGAUGCAG
RNAcentral lists this long non-coding RNA (1026 nucleotides) under Oryza brachyantha (malo sina). Its description in RNAcentral is "long non-coding RNA (OBRA_LNC001479)". The record is from RNAcentral. Lineage: Eukaryota; Viridiplantae; Streptophyta; Magnoliopsida; Poales; Poaceae.